UAGGCGGAUUCUGAAAAGCCUAAGACAGAGUAGGAA
This 36-nucleotide non-coding RNA is filed under the name unclassified sequences. The record is from Rfam.